RNAcentral lists this ribosomal RNA (398 nucleotides) under uncultured bacterium. RNAcentral describes it as "bacterial SSU rRNA". It matches the Rfam family "Bacterial small subunit ribosomal RNA", at positions 360 to 775 of the family's 1533-position model. The record is from RNAcentral.
AAUAUUGCACAAUGGGGGAAACCCUGAUGCAGCGACGCCGCGUGAAGGAAGAAGUCUCUCGGUAUGUAAACUUCUAUCAGCAGGGAAGAAAGUGACGGUACCUGACUAAGAAGCCCCGGCUAAUUACGUGCCAGCAGCCGCGGUAAUACGUAAGGGGCAAGCGUUAUCCGGAUUUACUGGGUGUAAAGGGAGCGUAGACGGCAGAGCAAGUCUGAUGUGAAAGGCAGGGGCUCAACCCCUGGACUGCAUUGGAAACUGUUCGGCUUGAGUGCCGGAGAGGUAAGCGGAAUUCCUAGUGUAGCGGUGAAAUGCGUAGAUAUUAGGAGGAACACCAGUGGCGAAGGCGGCUUACUGGACGGCAACUGACGUUGAGGCUCGAAAGCGUGGGGAGCAAACAG